Molecule: non-coding RNA, 511 nt
Filed under: Pongo abelii (Sumatran orangutan)
Lineage: Eukaryota; Metazoa; Chordata; Mammalia; Primates; Hominidae
Source: RNAcentral
GGAAGACUGGAGGAAUGAAAUGGAUUGACAGACCAACUAACUAAUGAGAGGCUUGAUUGAGAACCUACCCGACUAUCAGAGGACCUGUCCGGGAAGGGAAAUGGGGCUACGUCCAGACAGAAUCUCACUCUGUUGCCUGGGCUGGAGUGCAGUGGCGCUGUGUCCGGAAUUGGUGGGUUCUUGGUCUCCCUGACUUCAAGAACGAAGCUGCAGACCCUUGUGGUGAGUGUUACAGCCCUUAAGGUGGCGCGUCUGGAGUUUGUUACUUCUGAUGUUCGGAGAUGGGGUUUCACCAUGUUGGUCAGGCUGGUCUCGAACUCCUGACCUCAAGUGAUCUGUCUGUCUCGGCCUCACAAAUGGCUGGGAUUACAGGCACGAGACACCGUGCCUGGCCCUGGGAACAUGUUUACAUGGACUUUGUUCACUUUUUAAAACAAACUGAGGGUGACUUACUAGAUCUGUGAACUAAACAAAAAGAAAAAAAAGAAAGAAAGAAAACAAACAAGAACAA